UAGCUGAAAAACACAAAGUCUGGUUUAAACUGCAAGAAAGAUUGAGAAGACAGCACCUUGCAAAGGAAGACAAAAUGGAUUUUGGUUCUGUUCAGGAUGCCGAUAAAAGCCUCCAAAAGAUUGUUGACAGCUUGUAUAGGGAUAACAAAUUCAAGUCGAAUAUGUGUCCUCCUCUUGCUCUCUGCUCCAUCCGUCGCAAUGAUCCAACAGCUAAUAAGACGGAAUAUAUUAUAAAGGCCCUGGUUUCUCAAGAUGGAAAAACCAACUGCACACAUCUCCGCGUUGAUAGUUACGACGAUUUUAAUCGGUUUGUGCGAGAGUCAAGAGAUAAGGCUGUCAUGGAAGCCAUCAACCCAGAUCAGGUUUAAGACUGGACUUGUUAAAUCAUGGAGGAUAUUUUUUUUAUCCCUCUAAUGUUAAAGUAACAAGUACAUUGUGCCUAUUUGGAAUAAAUAAAAGUCUGCCUCAAG
Long non-coding RNA from Saccostrea echinata, 470 nucleotides. RefSeq lists it as uncharacterized. The record is from RefSeq and is a predicted model, not a curated record. Lineage: Eukaryota; Metazoa; Mollusca; Bivalvia; Ostreida; Ostreidae. The transcript has 2 exons.